RNAcentral lists this long non-coding RNA (6541 nucleotides) under Setaria viridis. RNAcentral's name for it is "long non-coding RNA (SVIR_LNC002186)". The record is from RNAcentral. Lineage: Eukaryota; Viridiplantae; Streptophyta; Magnoliopsida; Poales; Poaceae.
UACAUCCGCGCCGCCGAGGUGCGCGCGCUGCUGCGCGACCUGCACGCCGUCUCCGGCUCCGGCCGCGCCGUCAUGCUCAAGGACUACCUGUCCACGGUGAGCCUGAACGUGAUCACCCGCAUGGUGCUCGGCAAGAAGUACCUGGACAAGGAGGUGGCUGCCGGUGGGUCUUCCGUGACCACCCCCGAGGAGUUCAAGUGGAUGCUCGACGAGCUGUUCCUGCUCAACGGCGUGCUCAACAUCGGAGACUCCAUCCCGUGGCUCGACUGGAUGGACCUGCAGGGGUACAUUAAGAGGAUGAAGAAGCUCGGCAAGAUGUUCGACCGGUUCCUGGAGCACGUCGUGGAGGAGCACAACCAGCGGCGGUUGCGCGAGGGGAAGAGCUUCGUCGCCAAGGACAUGGUCGACGUGCUGCUGCAGAUCGCCGACGACCCUACCCUGGAGGUCGAGCUGAACAGGGAGAGCGUCAAGGCUUUCACUCAGGUGAGUUGUUGUCCGAGUAGGAUUCUGGUUCUCCUGGUUCUGUUUUACUGGAAUAUACAUCGGAAAACAUUAUCCAUUCAGAUCAGUACUUUGUGUAGCUUUGGUCUAAUAAGUAAUAACCUUGUCAACCAACUUUAAAGAAUCAUUUGGGCAUGUGGCACGCGCAGGACCUCAUCGCCGGCGGAACGGAGAGCUCGGCAGUCACCGUCGAGUGGGCCAUCUCAGAGCUCCUCAAGAAACCCGAGGUCUUCGCCAAGGCCACGGAGGAGCUGGACCGUGUGAUCGGCCGCGGCCGCUGGGUCACGGAGAAGGACAUUCCCCAGCUCCCGUACGUGGACGCCAUCGUCAAGGAGACGAUGCGGCUGCACCCGGUGGCGCCCAUGCUGGUGCCUCGCCUGUCCCGCGAGGACACGACCGUGGCCGGCUACGACAUCCCCGCCGGCACGCGCGUGCUCGUCAGCGUGUGGUCCAUCGGCCGCGACCCGACGCUGUGGGACACGCCGGAACAAUUCAUGCCGGAGCGAUUCCUCGGCAGCAAGCUCGACGUGAAGGGGCAAGAUUACGAGCUGCUGCCGUUCGGAUCCGGCCGGCGGAUGUGCCCCGGGUACAGCCUUGGCUUGAAGGUCAUCCAGGUGAGCCUUGCCAACCUGCUGCACGGUUUUGCGUGGAGCCUCCCAGAUGGCCUCACCAAGGAGGAGCUGAACAUGGAGGAGAUCUUCGGCCUGUCCACGCCGCGCAAGUUCCCGCUCGAGGCCGUCGUCGAGCCCAAGCUGCCAGCACACCUCUACGCCGAGGCUUGAUCGAUGCGUUUGUCUUCAGUAGAGGCGUGGUCCUUGCGUUCCUGCCCAGUGUCCACUUGCUGCUUGCUUUUUUGUUGCUGUUUUUUUUUGAAAGAAGCUUUUUUGUUGCUGUUGCUCUACUUUGUAAGUUCUUUUCAAGGUUUGCGUGAUGUAUGGCCUUAUGACGACUAUAGCGGAAAUGCGGAAUAACUUCCCUACACAUUGCAGUCAUCUCCGAUGUUCGUAAGUCUCUUUGGCCGCUAUUUUGCAACCUUGAUAAUAACUUCUCCAUAGAUAAAGCUAUUUUCUACCACGGAUAUCUAUCCAUGAUUGAAAAUAAUUUUAGGCUGCAAUCUUGACACGAUCCGUCGUAGCAACAUUUCCUAGACUUGAUAAGCUGUAAAACAUAAAUCAGCUAAAUCUUACCGGGACCAAACAAUAAAACCGCUAGCACCGACCCAAACGUCACACCACCACCAUCAUAUACCUAAACCACAAAAAAGAAAAAACAAAUGAUGCGCCUAAGCUUGGAAAUCAGGACAUGUUUCUCAGAGCAGGGAGCAUGCAUAUGGAGUAGUGUCUAUAUUGGUAUUGGAUAAUGAACGAUUGAAACAAUUGUAUUUGAUAUAUCACGAAUGACGACGAGUCACAAGGGUGACAAUGGAAGUAAUUUUACUUCACCGCGGAAGCCAUCCAAUUUUGAUAUAUCAUGCAUCACAAGGGUGACAAUGACAGUAGUUUUACUGCACCGUGGAAGCCAUCCAGCAAGUUCCAAACAAGACUAAUAAAAAUCACAUUUGAGUGUGCAAGAUGUGGACAUAUUUUUGAAGGGCCGUUAUUGAGCAAUGAUAAAAAUAACAAAAGCUAGAUGAUUUUUUUUCUAGGCUCCAUACCUGAUACUUGAAUAAAUGUAAAUACAAUAAGGAGAUCCGGUCGAGUAAGUACCUAUAUGAAUGGUGGCUAUUCAGUAUGCACACUUUGUUCCACCUUUUUACAUUAUUGUGGCAUGAAUAUCUCAUACUCCUGGCCUAUGAACUGUUCAUGCCUUACUAACAUCAUUGGAUAUCACUAAACAUAAUUUGACUCUGAUUAUUUCAAGAAUGUUGUGUCAAGAUAAAAAAAAGGAUAAACAAAUUGAUAUAAUAUAUUUGAACCCUCCAAUCAUCAUUGUUGAUCUUAUAAAAGAAUAUGUGGGUAUAAUCAGGGUUUUAUGGGAAAGACUAUGUAAAAUACAACGAGAGGACUAAUCACAGAUUCUUAUACACUUUAAUUGUUAUGCUACCCAAAUAGAAUAUGGUCCGGUUCCAACUCUCUCAUGUUGAUGAAUGUCAUAUUACCUUUCAAUCAUCAUUGCUGAAGACUGAAUAAAUUGUCAGAAAACACAAAAAGAGUAACUACAUAGCGAGAAAACACCAAUACUGUUUACGAUUGAUUAAGCCAUCAACUUUACGUGAUGAUGUUCUUUCGCUUUGAGUACAUGUCCACUUGUCUCUGUACAUGAUACUUAAACUUGUAUGAUCCUAUUCUUGAACCGUAGUCCUUGUAAUCAUUAUACUCGACUUUUUUUAUAUGUGCUUAAUUCAGCCGAGGUAAAUGUAUUUUGUUUGAUUUUGCCUAUUAAAUAAUGAAAGUAUAAACAAUUUUCAUAAAACAAUAAUCACGGAUUAAAGAAACGUCUGUACAUGUGCAAUAUUUCCGAUGUGUAAAAUUAAGAAGACGUGUUUUAUAUUAAAUACAAUAGCAAGUUAUUUGCCAAUUUACCAAUUUAAUGUAGGUUUCCAUGAGAUAGGGAUGCAAGUGGGGCAGAUUGCGGGCUACCCGCACCCGUCCGCACGAGCCGCAAUCCUAUAUGCGGGAUUAAGCGGCAGCCCGCGUACGUCCGCCAGAUUGUUGCGGGCUCUGCGGCCACCCGCGUGACCGCUGGCACCGCGAAGUGAGUCUUCUGUCGCGGUGUUGCCGUGUUCCUUCUGUUUCCUUGGUUCUAGAAUCGGCAUCGUAACCUCUGCUAUUGUGGUCACCUAGUUCACUUGGUUAUUCAGGUUUGUCUUGCAAUGCUGAAAUUCCAUUGAAGCUGAAGUAGGGUCCUGAAAUUUAGAGGAGCAGCCACGCAAGAUUCUGACACUGCCAUUCUCAGACCUUCGCAUGAACUCUGUUGUCCUUGGUUGUAUGAUAUUUAGAAUUUUAGAUAGUGUUGUAAUGUUGUUGGAUUCGCACCACAUAUAGUAGAGAUCAAAUCUCAAUUCUCAAGCGUGUAACUUGCCACUCGACCAGGGUCGUCGCUGGGAAGCACGGCGUCCUGCCCGAUCGGCCUCCACUCCACCACAAACUCCCCUCCCACGCACAGGCCAUAGAUGCUGUGUGUGCCGGCGAGUACUCGGAGAAGGCACAGGAGCUCGGAGAUGGAGGCUUGUUGGCGUGCGCGGGUCCCUCGUAGCGAAUGCCUAGAAUUAAGUUGUGCCAUCGCUGAUGACAAAAUCGGAGGAUGCGACGCGCGGUGUGGAGAGCAGGAGGUCCAUGGUCAAGCUAUCGAGGUGCAUGACCGGUUGUUGCCGUGUUGGGCGGCGCCGAGGUGCGGAGUGCGCGAACGCGGGUAUGCAGCGUGGCUAGGUUACGCGGGUUGCCCGCAUAACGUCGCGAAGAAGAUGCAGGUUAGAUGCCUUGUCUUUGCGGGCUUGCAGCACGAGCUGGCCCAGCGGGCUAGCAGCUCAACCCGUGCUGCUUGAAACUGUACCAUGAGUUGACUGCAAUUCACACUAUACAACAAAUGUCCUUUUACGAACCAUCAUAUAUGUAUCAACUUUAGAGACAGUCAUUUCCUUCUAUCUGAUUCAUGUUGGCAAAAGCAAGCGUUUUUAUGUAUUUUUAACAUUGUCCAUUUGUCUAAAAACAUGAAGUUUCUUUUAUUUUGCUUGGGCGUCUGAAUUAUGUGUUAUUCCAAGCUGUCUAUGGCAUCUAUGAUUUUGGAAGAUAUCGCUAACUCAUAGAUGCAAACACUUCAAACCAUGCAUAUUAGCUAAUGAUAUUUAGUUGACUAUGAGGCCAUAACUUCAAAAGAUUUCACCUCCAAGCUAGUUAUCUUUCCAAUUUCGAAGAAAUUGCUAUGAUAAACCAUGAGAAACUCAUAAAACUCUGAUGACAAAUUGUUAUAGUAUGGUUGUCUAAAACGACAGCAGGUCCCUCUCAAAAGAGUCAAAAAGGUAGAAAACGCCCAGUGAAAGUCAAGCCUUCAACGUAGGAACGAACCACAUAGAUUUAAAUGUUUAGUGGCAAUAUGGUUCUUAAGAAAAAUCAUAAACACAUCAAGAACCCGACAGAGCAGUUGCACAAGGGCUAAAACAAGAGCUUUUGUUUACAUCAAGUAGCAAAUCCAUCGCUGUCACCAAAGCAAACUCCAUGGGGCAAAUAAAAAAUUGCCUUUCAGCUCUUUGGUCAGUCCACGGUCAGUCAGUCGUUUCAAACGUGGUCCAGAAGUCUGAUAAUCAAUGGCAAUAGGUGUUUCUCUGUGCUGUCCCAGAAACUCCCCUUGGAAUUAUUGUAUAUCUAAGCAACGUCAAUACAGUAAAAGACCUCCAGAAGAAGUAGGUGAAGCCCACGCGGACCAAAAGACUAAUGGUCAUAACACCAUCAGUUCACAUUAGAAAUUGCAACUUGCCUAUCGAAUUGCAUCAAAGCAUGCUAACUGCUCUGAAUCUUUCUUUUAGUACUUGACUUGCUACAGAGCCAGUAAUUUGGGGUGUCAUUUCAAGUCAAACGUCAAGUCUAGAGGGUUAGUGAAUUUCUUUCACACUCCGACGAAAGUGCCUUGCCGUUUGAUACAAAAUUCGAAACUAAGUGUUCGACACAAAAUGCUCUGGAAACUUUGCAUGAUUCUAAAUCAAUCAUGGUCCCCCAUCCUCACCACACACACACACAAACUUUUCAAAAAAUUUCACAUCUCAAAUUUACAUCGAGUCGUGUUACUAAUUGAUGCCACACCAUGCGGACAUGAACCUCUGAUACCUAUGCUCUCCAACUACCUGCCUGGUCUGCUGAUCAUGCAGUGGUCACUGAAAAAGACACGGUUCGGACUUUGGAGUGCUCCCAGUAGGGUAGUACAUAUAUGUGCAAAUAAACCAGAUUUUGGAGACGGUAAAAAAUCAUCCAAAAAAUACUUUUAAGUGUAUACGGGGUGAAAUGCGAAUGCUGAAUCCGCCAGAAUGCGGAUCUGAACAAAGAGCACAACACACAGAGUGAAAUUUCUGCCACAUCGAACAAUCUGCCAGUGCUCAAGUCGUCGUUCCUUUUGCAAAAGCUGUAGCUUCAUCUGCACGUGUUUCCCGGGACUUGAUCAGACGAACGUCGUCGUCGUUCCAUCGUCACCGUCUAGUUUUCUUUGGCUCAAGUCGUCUCUGAUUUCCCCAUCCUUUCCCACCAAGUGACACUGCAGCUUCCGCACGCGCUCCACCGCUUCACCCGCCUAUAAGAAGUCCGUAAGCGCCCCGGCACAGCACCAACUCGCCAGGUCUACUCCUCACUUAACCAGCCAUUUCCAGUCUUCACCGCCAUCAGCCGUCUUGAGUCAGCACCGCAGCAGCCUAUCUAGCUCAACUGUACGUACCAAUCAUGGAGCUUCCGCCAUGGGCGUCUUUCCUCGGCGUGGUGCUCGCCACCGUGAUGCUUCUCAAGGCCAUCGUCUGCCGCCACCGCCGCCGCCGCGCGUACAACCUCCCGCCGGGGCCCAAGCCGUGGCCGAUCAUCGGCAACCUGGACCUGAUGGGCGCGCUCCCGCACCGCUCCAUCCACGAGCUGUCCAGGAAGUACGGACCGCUGAUGCAGCUCCAGUUCGGGUCGUUCCCCGUGGUGGUCGGCUCGUCGGUGGACAUGGCCAAGUUCUUCCUCAAGACCCACGACGUGGUGUUCACUGACCGGCCCAAGACCGCCGCCGGCAAGUACACCACCUACAACUACCGCGACAUCACCUGGUCCCCCUACGGCGCCUACUGGCGGCAGGCGCGCAAGAUGUGCCUCACCGAGCUCUUCAGCGCCAAGCGCCUCGAGUCGUACGAGUACAUCCGCGCCGCCGAGGUGCGCGCGCUGCUGCGCGACCUGCACGCCGUCUCCGGCUCCGGCCGCGCCGUCAUGCUCAAGGACUACCUGUCCACGGUGAGCCUGAACGUGAUCACCCGCAUGGUGCUCGGCAAGAAGUACCUGGACAAGGAGGUGGCUGCCGGUGGGUCUUCCGUGACCACCCCCGAGGAGUUCAAGUGGAUGCUCGACGAGCUGUUCCUGCUCAACGGCGU